This 75-nucleotide antisense RNA is filed under the name Streptomyces melanosporofaciens. RNAcentral describes it as "ASpks TB sRNA". It matches the Rfam family "ASpks TB sRNA". Lineage: Bacteria; Bacillati; Actinomycetota; Actinomycetes; Kitasatosporales; Streptomycetaceae. The record is from RNAcentral.
CUUGAUCGAGCCCAGCCACAGCGGCUGGUCCUCCGUCUUCUCCUUGCCGUACGUGGCCAGCAGCGCCUGCGCCUC